This 72-nucleotide transfer RNA is filed under the name Pangasius djambal. RNAcentral describes it as "tRNA-Lys". The record is from RNAcentral. Lineage: Eukaryota; Metazoa; Chordata; Actinopteri; Siluriformes; Pangasiidae.
UCCCUGGAGGACUAGUGUUUAGGCCAUGGCGCACUUACUGCCGCGGCCUGGGUUCGAUUCCCGGCCAGGGAA